RNAcentral lists this ribosomal RNA (260 nucleotides) under uncultured Staphylococcus sp. RNAcentral describes it as "partial 16S ribosomal RNA". It matches the Rfam family "Bacterial small subunit ribosomal RNA", at positions 524 to 783 of the family's 1533-position model. The record is from RNAcentral. Lineage: Bacteria; Bacillati; Bacillota; Bacilli; Caryophanales; Staphylococcaceae.
UACGUAGGUGGCAAGCGUUAUCCGGAAUUAUUGGGCGUAAAGCGCGCGUAGGCGGUUUUUUAAGUCUGAUGUGAAAGCCCACGGCUCAACCGUGGAGGGUCAUUGGAAACUGGAAAACUUGAGUGCAGAAGAGGAAAGUGGAAUUCCAUGUGUAGCGGUGAAAUGCGCAGAGAUAUGGAGGAACACCAGUGGCGAAGGCGACUUUCUGGUCUGUAACCGACGCUGAUGUGCGAAAGCGUGGGGAUCAAACAGGAUUAGAU